This 245-nucleotide ribosomal RNA is filed under the name uncultured Bdellovibrio sp. RNAcentral describes it as "partial 16S ribosomal RNA". It matches the Rfam family "Bacterial small subunit ribosomal RNA", at positions 210 to 456 of the family's 1533-position model. Lineage: Bacteria; Pseudomonadati; Bdellovibrionota; Bdellovibrionia; Bdellovibrionales; Pseudobdellovibrionaceae. The record is from RNAcentral.
GUUUUUCGCUCUAAGAUGAGUCCGCGUAAGAUUAGCUAGUUGGUGAGGUAACGGCUCACCAAGGCGACGAUCUUUAACUGGUCUGAGAGGAUGAUCAGUCACUGGAACUGAGACACGGUCCAGACUCCUACGGGAGGCAGCAGUAGGGAAUAUUGCACAAUGGAGGAAACUCUGAUGCAGCGACGCCGCGUGAGUGAUGAAGGCCUUCGGGUCGUAAAGCUCUGUCGCAGGGGAAUAACACAAUG